Small nuclear RNA from Talpa occidentalis (Iberian mole), 161 nucleotides. RefSeq annotates it as U1 spliceosomal RNA. The record is from RefSeq and is a predicted model, not a curated record. The transcript has a single exon. NCBI's taxonomy places the organism in Eukaryota, Metazoa, Chordata, Mammalia, Eulipotyphla, Talpidae.
AUACUUACCUGGCAAGGGAGACACCAUGAUGAUGAAGGUGGUUUCCUGGGGCGAGGCUUUCCUCCAUCACAGUCCAGGUGUGUCUCCCUUGCAAUUUUCCCAAAUGUGGAAAACUGACUGCAUAAUCUGUGGCAGUGGGAGACCACAUUCACACUCUCCCC